RNAcentral lists this ribosomal RNA (326 nucleotides) under uncultured eukaryote. RNAcentral describes it as "partial 18S ribosomal RNA". It matches the Rfam family "Eukaryotic small subunit ribosomal RNA", at positions 1470 to 1796 of the family's 1831-position model. The record is from RNAcentral.
CCCUUAGAUGUUCAGGGCCGCACGCGCGCUACACUGAUGCAUUCAACAAGCCUAGCCUUGACCGAGAGGUCCGGGUAAUCUUUGAAACUGCAUCGUGAUGGGGCUAGAUUAUUGCAAUUAUUAAUCUUCAACGAGGAAUGCCUAGUAAGCGUGAUUCAUCAAAUCGCGUUGAUUACGUCCCUGCCCUUUGUACACACCGCCCGUCGCUCCUACCGAUUGAAUGUGUUGGUGAGGAGCUCGGAUUGGCAGCAGUUGGUGGUUCGCCACCGGCUAUUGCUGAGAAGUCCUCCAAACCGCCCCAUUUAGAGGAAGGAGAAGUCGUAACA